Molecule: long non-coding RNA, 227 nt
Filed under: Capsicum annuum
Lineage: Eukaryota; Viridiplantae; Streptophyta; Magnoliopsida; Solanales; Solanaceae
Description: long non-coding RNA (CANN_LNC001163)
Source: RNAcentral
UUUUUGGGCAAGAAGGCUAAGGUUUCAUCUUGUGGAUUGCUUGGGGGUUGCUUUGGUGAUUUCUUUUUGUCAAUUCUUUAGUAUAAGGCUUAAUUCUCUUCCCUCAUUGUAAUUUAACUAAAGACAUGGUUUGUAUUAUUGAUUUCAUGAUUCUACUAUUUCAUGGAUAUGGUUUUCAACUAUUAUUUGGGAGUUUUGAUAUUGAAUGCUUGGUUAUGGAUUCCCGU